RNAcentral lists this transfer RNA (78 nucleotides) under candidate division SR1 bacterium. Its description in RNAcentral is "tRNA-Asp". It matches the Rfam family "tRNA". Rfam says of the family: Transfer RNA (tRNA) molecules are approximately 80 nucleotides in length. Their secondary structure includes four short double-helical elements and three loops (D, anti-codon, and T loops). Further hydrogen bonds mediate the characteristic L-shaped molecular structure. tRNAs have two regions of fundamental functional importance: the anti-codon, which is responsible for specific mRNA codon recognition, and the 3' end, to which the tRNAs corresponding amino acid is attached (by aminoacyl-tRNA synthetases). tRNAs cope with the degeneracy of the genetic code in two manners: having more than one tRNA (with a specific anti-codon) for a particular amino acid; and 'wobble' base-pairing, i.e. permitting non-standard base-pairing at the 3rd anti-codon position. The record is from RNAcentral. Lineage: Bacteria; Candidatus Absconditibacteriota.
GGGAUUGUAGCUCAGCUGGUUUAGAGCGCCGCCCUGUCACGGCGGAGGUCACGGGUUCGAACCCCGCCAGUCCCGCCA